Molecule: long non-coding RNA, 834 nt
Filed under: Homo sapiens (human)
Lineage: Eukaryota; Metazoa; Chordata; Mammalia; Primates; Hominidae
Description: HSALNT0333173
Source: RNAcentral
AUUCCGCCACAAGCGAACGAGCCUGGGCUGGCCUUGUGGAAGCCUAGCCGAGGCCUCAGAAUAUGGAUGAGAUCAUCUGAGACCAUCCACCCCAGGAAGCCAGCAAAGUGGCUAGAACCCGCCAUACCACCGCAGAAUCACGAUUGCUGUUCUGAGUCACUACAUUUCAGGUGACUUGUUGAGCAGCAAACGAGCUGACGAACCUAAAGUCAGAAGAUGCUAGCGGAAGAAACAGGACCCAGAACUCCAUUGGAAAAUGGGGUAUACAGACUUCGAGGAUGCCAGACAAAAAGAUCAUUUGAAAUAUUGUUGUCACUAAGCCUUCUUUGAUCAAGACACCAUGAGCUCAUGACAAACGCCUCAAUUUCCUUCUUCUGUAAAUAAAUUAAUACCUGGUGAGAUGUAAAAGCCCACUUGAACGGAAAACAACAUGUUUGAUGAAAUUCUGAGAGAAGAUACAACCCAAGAUAAAAAGAGAGGGGAGAGUGGAGUAAAGAACUGCCUAACCUAAUUUUAUCUUGUAGUGUCCUUGACGAAUGUGACCAGUAGCGUUCUAGUGGAUUUACCCCUUAUGUAUAUGGAAGUAUAGAGCUCAGUGCAAUGAGAGUCCCCAUGGAGAUACACGGGUUCAAGAUCUGUCCUAGCAAUAGCAGGCGAUGACAGAGGGCUCUGUUUCAAUAUGUUUCGUACAGGAAAUCACAGCUUUGGCGUGCUGAAGCUGGUAAGUUUUCAUCAGGUAUACACUAGUGGUGUCACAGACUUGUAGAAUCUGUCACUCUGAAAGUAUUCUGAGAGCCAGAGAAUGACUCUUAUUCCAGAUGACAUCGGCAUCCC